UUCAAUACUGAAUUUUUAUCUUUAGGAUGUUUUAUACAUACCUAAGUUCUUUAUCAAUCUAAUUUUUCCCCCCAGAUUAACCAAUGACCUUAAUUGAACUAUCAAUUUUAACACCAAUGAUUUCACUAUACAAGGGAACUUUACCCUAAAGAUGAUUUGUGCAGCUAAACUUCACCAAGGCUUAUAUUAUCUUAACUUCCCCA
Molecule: long non-coding RNA, 203 nt
Filed under: Lathyrus oleraceus (garden pea)
Lineage: Eukaryota; Viridiplantae; Streptophyta; Magnoliopsida; Fabales; Fabaceae
Description: Pisum sativum (pea) long non-coding RNA (PSAT_LNC021992)
Source: RNAcentral